UACAGAGGGUGCGAGCGUUAAUCGGAAUUACUGGGCGUAAAGGGCGCGUAGGCGGAUAGGCAAGUGAGAUGUGAAAUACCCGGGCUCAACCUGGGAACGGCAUCUUAAACUGCUUGUCUAGAGUACUGUAGAGGAUAGUGGAAUUUCCGGUGUAGCGGUGAAAUGCGUAGAGAUCGGAAGGAACAUCAGUGGCGAAGGCGACUGUCUGGACAGAUACUGACGCUGAGGCGCGAAAGCGUGGGGAGCAAACAGG
This 253-nucleotide ribosomal RNA is filed under the name uncultured bacterium. RNAcentral describes it as "partial 16S ribosomal RNA". It matches the Rfam family "Bacterial small subunit ribosomal RNA", at positions 524 to 776 of the family's 1533-position model. The record is from RNAcentral.